This 189-nucleotide ribosomal RNA is filed under the name Pseudoalteromonas sp. UCD-33C. RNAcentral's name for it is "partial 16S ribosomal RNA". It matches the Rfam family "Bacterial small subunit ribosomal RNA", at positions 1350 to 1533 of the family's 1533-position model. Lineage: Bacteria; Pseudomonadati; Pseudomonadota; Gammaproteobacteria; Alteromonadales; Pseudoalteromonadaceae. The record is from RNAcentral.
CAGAAUGAUGCGGUGAAUACGUUCCCGGGCCUUGUACACACCGCCCGUCACACCAUGGGAGUGGGUUGCUCCAGAAGUGGAUAGUCUAACCUUCGGGAGGACGUUCACCACGGAGUGAUUCAUGACUGGGGUGAAGUCGUAACAAGGUAGCCCUAGGGGAACCUGGGGCUGGAUCACCUCCUUAUACGA